RNAcentral lists this long non-coding RNA (426 nucleotides) under Aquilegia coerulea. Its description in RNAcentral is "long non-coding RNA (ACOE_LNC000188)". The record is from RNAcentral. Lineage: Eukaryota; Viridiplantae; Streptophyta; Magnoliopsida; Ranunculales; Ranunculaceae.
AGGAAAAGAAUUUCGUCUCAAUUGUGCCAACUGUUUAAAUUUUGUUGAAUUGAGCAUUUACCUGGAAGUUUGCUUGUAAAUCACUAAUGAAUGAAAGAAAGAUCAGGGAUACAAAAUGAAUCUUUUAACAGAGAACAUUGAUGUAUUGUAGUUGUUUAUAUGGACUAAUGCAAGUGCCAAUACAACCUUCAUUAGUUACUUUCGAAUCUUUAACUUCAGCGGAAACAUGCUGCUGCUCUGAGCUUUACUUCUGGCUACUAUUGUUGGUUUUGAAUCUUAAUAAUUGUCAGUUGUCAUCAAAUGGAAGUAGUCUGACAAUCUUAUUUGUUUGUAUCUGUUAUCCUGAUUUUGUCAUUGAAAAUGGGAUGAAAGGACAAUGAGAAAGAUAGAAACUGGGAAGCAGAACUAUAUUCAGAUGAAUUCUUU